Molecule: ribosomal RNA, 475 nt
Filed under: uncultured bacterium
Lineage: Bacteria
Description: bacterial SSU rRNA
Rfam family: Bacterial small subunit ribosomal RNA
Source: RNAcentral
CAGGACGAACGCUGGCGGCGUGCCUAACACAUGCAAGUCGAGCGAGGAGAUCCUCGGGAUGAUCCUAGCGGCGGACGGGUGAGUAACACGUGGGCAACCUGCCUCAUAGAGAGGAAUAGCCUUCCGAAAGGGAGAUUAAUACCUCAUAACAUUGCAGUUUCGCAUGGAACAGCAAUUAAAGGAGCAAUCCGCUAUGAGAUGGGCCCGCGGCGCAUUAGCUAGUUGGUGAGGUAACGGCUCACCAAGGCGACGAUGCGUAGCCGACCUGAGAGGGUGAUCGGCCACAUUGGGACUGAGACACGGCCCAGACUCCUACGGGAGGCAGCAGUGGGGAAUAUUGCACAAUGGGGGAAACCCUGAUGCCAGCAACGCCGCGUGAGUGAUGACGGCCUUCGGGUUGUAAAGCUCUGUCUUCAGGGACGAUAAUGACGGUACCUGAGGAGGAAGCCACGGCUAACUACGUGCCAGCCGCCGC